AAAAUUGUGGGGGAACAUCUUGAGUAGGUUUAGAGAUGGAAUGGGAAGCCUGGCAGAAGCGCUGGUCCGGUCUUCAGGGUCACGGCUGAUACAGGAGUUUAAGCGGCCGUGUGACUCCAAAGCCUAGCUUCUGCAAGCAGAUGUUUUCUUCUAGCCAUGUGUGAAUUGGAGGUUCCUUGGGCUGUCCACGCCUGGUCAUCGGCUGGCAGGAGGCUCUCCAGGCACACGCAGCACACACAGCACAUGCACCACACGUAGCACACACACUGCAUGCAGCACACACACACGACACAGUGGACGCACCACACAGAGCACACGCGGCACGCACAGCACACACCACACAGCGCACGCACCACACAGAGCACACACGGCACACAGCGCAUGCACCACGCAGAGCACACACGGCACAUGCAGCACACACACCAAACACAGCGCACGCACCGCACAGAGCACAUGCAGCACACACGGCACAUGCAGCACACACACCAAACACAGCACAUGCACUGCACAGAGCACACGCAGCACACACAGCACACGCACCACGCAGAGCACACACAGCACAUGCAGCACACACACCAAACACAGCGCACGCACCGCACAGAGCACACGUGGCACACGCAGCACACACACCAAACACAGCGCACGCACCGCACAGCACACGUGGCACACACAGCACACACACCAAACAGCGCACACACCACACAGAGCACACGCAGCACACACACCACACAGAGCACUUGGAGCACCCGCAGCACACACACCACGCAGAGCACACGCGGCACACACACCACACAUAGCGCAUGCACAACACAGAGCACACACAGCACAUGCACCACAUGUAGCGCACACUGCAUGCAGCACACACACCACACACAGCGCGUGCACCACACAGAGCACCUGCGGCACACACAGCACACACACCGCACGCACCACAGAGAGCACACGUGGCACACACACUGCACACAGUGCACGCACCACACAGCACACGCGGCACACGCAGCACACACAGCGCAUGCACCACACAGAGCAGACGCGGCGCACACAGCACACGUGGCAUAUGGCCUCCAUGACCCUGUGUCUUGAGGGCAGGUCCUACUUUUUGCUUUGUUGUGUUGGAGCAGAAUUUCUCC
Molecule: long non-coding RNA, 1130 nt
Filed under: Pan troglodytes (chimpanzee)
Lineage: Eukaryota; Metazoa; Chordata; Mammalia; Primates; Hominidae
Description: long non-coding RNA NONPTRT017553
Source: RNAcentral